CUCUCAUGGCUCACCUGCGGUACCUUCACAGCCCACCAGGGGGCCAGAACCCAUAGGCUGUACCUUUGUGACCCACCAGGGGUUUUCUGCAAUCACUGUAACCACUAUGAUGUGUACAUCUAAACUAUAUGGCUUUGGAUUACUACAAACAGCAUCAAAACUGCCUGAGUACCUUGUAGGUAGUACUGGCGUAGCCUGGGGUUUCUGAUGUGGGGGGUGUGGCUGAGGGGCCGGCCCACAGUGGGUUGGUUUUGGUCUUGCAUGUCCUGGUCCCCCUUAGUGGACUGUGGAGUCUGAGAGACACCAGCAGGAAGGUUGGCGUCUGACCUGGUCCUGACGUUGCCAAAGUAGCCGGUCCUGUUCGUGGCCUUGUUGUCCAUACCACCUAAAUUCUCUGGUCUCCUCACAGACUGAGCCAUUGCCUGUCUUUAGUCUCAAGCCGGCUCAAGUGGCAGUCGCAGAGAGGUGAAGAGCUCAACUGGCAUCCUUCCUCCU
Molecule: long non-coding RNA, 495 nt
Organism: Thalassophryne amazonica
Lineage: Eukaryota; Metazoa; Chordata; Actinopteri; Batrachoidiformes; Batrachoididae
Exons: 3
Source: RefSeq, a predicted model, not a curated record